GACGAACGCUGGCGGCAUGCUUAACACAUGCAAGUCGAACGGAACGGCCCUGCCUAUGUGGGCAGCUGGGGUGGCGAACGGGUGAGUAACACGUGAGUACCCUGCCCCUGACUGUGGGAUAACCUAAGGAAACUGAGGGUCAUACGGGCUAGGAGUUCUCGCUGUUUGGUGGGGGCGGGAAAGUUUCGCCGGUUGGGCGUGGACUCGCGGCUCAUCAGCUUGUUGGAGGGGUAGUGGCUUAGCAAGGCUUUGACGGGUAGCCGGCCUGCGCGGGGGACCGGCCACACUGGGACGGGAAUGCGGCACGGACUCGUACCGGAGGCAGCGGUGCGGAAGAGUGUACAGGGGGAGGAGGCCAGAUGCAGCAACGCCGCGUGCGGGAUGACGGCCAUCGGGUAGGAUUGCACUUUCGCUUGUGACGAAGCGUGAGUGACGGUAACGGGUAAAGAAGCACCGGCUAACUACGUG
Molecule: ribosomal RNA, 468 nt
Filed under: uncultured bacterium
Lineage: Bacteria
Description: partial 16S ribosomal RNA
Rfam family: Bacterial small subunit ribosomal RNA
Source: RNAcentral